This 71-nucleotide transfer RNA is filed under the name Loxodonta africana (African savanna elephant). It matches the Rfam family "tRNA". From Rfam's summary of the family: Transfer RNA (tRNA) molecules are approximately 80 nucleotides in length. The record is from Rfam by way of RNAcentral. Lineage: Eukaryota; Metazoa; Chordata; Mammalia; Proboscidea; Elephantidae.
GCAGUGGUGGGUCAGUGGGAGAAUUCUCGCCUUCCAUGUGGGAGGCCCAGGUUCGAUUUCUGGCCAGUGCA